This 253-nucleotide long non-coding RNA is filed under the name Elaeis guineensis (African oil palm). RNAcentral's name for it is "long non-coding RNA (EGUI_LNC002580)". The record is from RNAcentral. Lineage: Eukaryota; Viridiplantae; Streptophyta; Magnoliopsida; Arecales; Arecaceae.
CAAGUCCGGCCGGCACCGCGCCGGUGAGUUGGUUGUUGGAUAGGUUUAAAGCGCUGAAUCUGACAGAAGAGAGGCUCGCCGGGAUCUGGCCGGAGAGGUGGUUGUUGGAGAGAUCCAGCGAGUUUAAGUUCGGGAGACCGCCGAUGCUCGCCGGGAUUGGGCCGGCGAGGUUGUUGCUUGCAAGAUCGAUAGUGGUGAGAGAGCUGCACGAGCCUAUGCUUUCCGGUAUCUCGCCGGAGAUUGAGUUGUACGG